CGCUCGUGGCAGCUGCUAUUCAUAGCUUGCUUGUUUCUGUAGCGUUGCUAAGUUGUUAGGUGGUGAUCCACACUUUCCCCAAGUCUCUCCCUGAGUCUUGCUGUUCUUUUGCUUUAGGGGAAUGAACUGUGUGACACUUAGCGGGACGGUGUCGAUGCAUGCUCCUAUGUCCAGAUCUGCUCACCCGGGGAAAGCGUCUUCCCAGGCUUCACGAGACCGCCGUGGGGUCUGAGCGGAAGCUAACGAGAGGCGUUUAGCAUGGCACAGGCUGGCAGGGAUGCCCACGGCCGCGGGAGGGACCCACGGCGAGGCAGCAGGGAUGCCGUAAAGCCAUAGUCUCGGGACCAGGUGUCUGCCACACUAUCGGUGACCGCAUCACUUCCUUUCUGAUACUGGAGAUUUUAUCAUUUAGGGAUGGCAAGUUAAGAUACUUUUAUUGAAUGAACUUCCUGCUAAGUUUCUGAGCCGUGGCUGGGUUUAUGACAUAAUUGCUCUACAUGUUGAUACCAUCUUUUAUCGUAAUUGUUUUCCAUUGUUUUUAAUAAAAGGAUAAAAAUAAUAGGAGACAUUUUAGAAAGUGGGGUUUUUUUUGUUCUAUUAUUCAUGAUACUAAAAAUUACCCAAAAUAAGAUAUUUUGCAAAAAAGGAUUUUGUUCCAAAAGUGACUAAUUUAAAUCAGUUUAUACAAUGAACUUGCUAAUGAUCCUCAGUCUCGAGGAGUGUAAUGCUUUUAUACUGUUAUCAUUUUUUAUGAAUAGAAUUAUACAAAAAGUUCCUAUUGUGUUGUACAGUGAGUUUCACACAACCAUCCUUUAUCAACAGAUGGCAACCGGCACAUGAAAAAUAAUUAAAAAAUAAAAUGAAAAGAAACCGAGAAUGAAUUAAAGUGCUUCUUUGCGUUCUGAUCUGCAUUUUUGGUUUAGAAUUUUUAUGGUGAAUUGCCAUAUUAUCUGUUAUAUCAGUUUACAAUGAGGCUCCUAUCAGACAUAAAACAGAUUUAUAAUACCAUUAAAAUACAAUAUCAAAGAAUGAAUAAGCAAUUCAAUAAAAUUACAAUAACACAAAGAUAAAAUGAAAGCCUUUUCAAUAACAGUUUUAUGCAAGAACAUUUUGCAGAUAAAUAUGUGUUUAUAGAUCUUUUAAAUGUACAUUUAUUAUACUGUUCCUAAUAGAGCCACAGGGGUUAAUUUUUCCUGUGUGUUGUCUUUUAUAAGUGGUUUAAAAGCUAGCUGCAAAACUCUUCAAUAGAUUGUUUUGAAUCUUUGAAUUGAUUUUGGUAAAGGGAGCUUUUACAGUCCUGCAGGCGAAUGUUCGCACACAAACGAGUCAAUAUGGCUGGGGGUGGGAAUCUGGGGGGAGCCCCACGCCACCGCCGCCGCCGCCACCUGGGACCCGGGCACGGAGGAGACGCGGAGGGAAAAGUUUAUACGUGAACUUGAAUCUGAUGGUCUUCCCACCCCGGAUGUUCAGGUCUGGUUUCCGGAAGGAAAGUUGAAAGAAAAAAAAAAAAAAAAGAAAAGAAAAGAAAAAAAGCCAAGGAUGACAAGUCACCCUCCUUGGAAGUCCCAGGGCAGCUCCUUAGCUGCGGUCCCUGGGCUGGCGAGGAGAGGCUGCUGCUGCUGGAGGCUGUGCUCUGCACUUUGUGUCCUGCUGUUCUCCCCACACCUGGCUUGCGUCUUAAUUAAGCAUCCUGUUUACUUCCUUUGUCUUUAAUUUUAGCUGGGAGUUCCCCAGGCCUGCUGUGAUCCUUGCCAUGCUUGGCCAGUAGGGUCAGUGUGGCAGGAAAUUUGGGGGGAAAGGAUGUGAGGCUCAGGAGACCUUGCGGGCAGGUCUGCAUCCCCAGCAGGGCCCGGGGACCAGGGUGAAGUCAAGUGUCCCCUCCCGCCUGGUGUUUCUCUCCAUCCGGAGUGUCCCCCCCGCCAAGGGUCCCGCCGUGGCUGGUGGCUGGGACAGAUCCCACCCUGGCUCUGGUGCGGUGGGGCUGGAAUCCCUGGCAUUGCGGUGGCCUGCGUUUGGACCACAAAUACCUGUGCUUCGGGCCCCCUCCUGGGCAGCUGGAGGGCUUGGGGACUGGGCUCUGCUCCGGCUGGGGUGGGGCAAUGCCCUGAGAGAGGUGCCCGGGAAACUAGGAAAAGGAGCUCAGGUUGGAGUUUAUGGAGGGGUUAAAAACAAACAAACAAACAAACAAAUACAGCCCUGAAAAACCUAAGGAGAGAAUUUUGUCCCUAGAAAAAAGUCUCUGAGCCUAAAUUUAAACUCCUGUAGUUCUCUCUUUGUUGUAAUUCCUCUGCAGAUCGCUGGCAUCCUCUGCCUCCGGAAUGAUAGAAGGUGCCAGGCCCUUAGAGGUGGCUUGGUAUACCGUAGGUAAUAUCGGCUGCGGUAGAAAAUAAAAAGCAAGUGGACGAUCUUUGGCUCGAGCAUAUGCUGCUCAAAUGAUUGAGACGCAAAGCAGGGAGAGGACCAGAAAGGCCCUUCCUUCGAAAAUUUUAGUGCACGACACAGCGGCUGCUGCAAAUAGCACCAUUUCCCCAGCCCAGGCUGUUUGAUUGCACGAGGCUUGAUUGCAUCAUUAGUCCUGAAGUGCUGUGCUCACUGAAACACACCAGCAUCUUGGACAUUAAAGUGGCAUCCUGUUGUGUAUGAGGAGAGGCCUCACACACACCACUUCAUCUUGCAAACCUGCCUUUUCCCCAGAGUCUCGGAGCAGCAUUAGACCGACCGGAGGAGGAAGUCUAAUUUUAUAUAGCAGCAAUUAUUACACCUUGCCACUCUCUUCUAAGUUGCCACUUGAUUAGUGCUGAAUGGGUAAAAGUGACAAAACCCUUCUCUAUGGGAAAAAA
Canis lupus familiaris (dog) is the source of this 2840-nucleotide long non-coding RNA. RefSeq lists it as uncharacterized. The record is from RefSeq and is a predicted model, not a curated record. Lineage: Eukaryota; Metazoa; Chordata; Mammalia; Carnivora; Canidae. The transcript has 3 exons.